Molecule: non-coding RNA, 31 nt
Filed under: Rattus norvegicus (Norway rat)
Lineage: Eukaryota; Metazoa; Chordata; Mammalia; Rodentia; Muridae
Source: RNAcentral
UCCUCAGAACACCCUGCCAAAUCAUUCCACA